This 764-nucleotide long non-coding RNA is filed under the name Salmo salar (Atlantic salmon). RNAcentral's name for it is "lncRNA (ENSSSAG00000093366.1, ENSSSAG00020059421.1)". Lineage: Eukaryota; Metazoa; Chordata; Actinopteri; Salmoniformes; Salmonidae. The record is from RNAcentral.
CUCUUACCCAGAAACGAGAAUAUGCAUAUAAUUAGUAUAUUUGGAUAGAAAACACUCUAAAGUUUCUAAAACUGUUUGAAUGGUGUCUGUGAGUAUAACAGAACUCAUAUGGCAGGCCAAAACCUGAGAAGAUUCCAUGCAGGAAGUGCCCUGUCUGACAAUUUGUUGUCCUUCUAGGGCAUCUCUAUCAAAAAUACAGCAUCUCUGCAGUAACGUGACAUUUUCUAAGGCUUUCAUUGGCUUUCAGAAGGCGCCAGAAAGUGGAAUGAGAGCUCUGCAGUCUCUGGGCGAAAAAAGCAGGAGAUUUUUUACUACAUCAGUGAAGCACCUGGACAUCCACAUCAAGGACUGUCAUCCCUGCCUAACAUCAAACCUCAGAGGAGAGGAAUGGAGGGAAGAAUGGAUAGAAGGAUGUAGGGAUGAAGGGAUGGAAAAAGGGUUCAGAGAGAGGUCAAAGCUCUUUGAGGAAAAAGAGUGAAAAUGUGGCUCGUUCCUGAUUGUUGGCAUAGUAACCGCUGUGAUCGUUAUCAUCUUCAUUCUGUUGACCACUGGAGUCAUUCCCAUGAAUGUCACACCACCCUGAGACACAUGCAUGGACACACUAACAUUCACACUGUGUGUAAUGCAAUGUCUUUGUAUGCAUUAUAAAUAAAGCACACACAAAAUCAUGCAUACCCACUUUUACAAUGCAUGCAUACAAACAUGCGUACAGAGCAAACACAUAUCUGAAGCAUCAUGGGUUAUAUUGCACUUUAAGUAUGAAC